This 1127-nucleotide ribosomal RNA is filed under the name Enterococcus gallinarum. RNAcentral describes it as "bacterial SSU rRNA". It matches the Rfam family "Bacterial small subunit ribosomal RNA", at positions 35 to 1135 of the family's 1533-position model. Lineage: Bacteria; Bacillati; Bacillota; Bacilli; Lactobacillales; Enterococcaceae. The record is from RNAcentral.
GGGCGUGGCGGGUGCUAUACAUGCAGUCGAACGCUUUUUCUUUCACCGGAGCUUGCUCCACCGAAAGAAAAAGAGUGGCGAACGGGUGAGUAACACGUGGGUAACCUGCCCAUCAGAAGGGGAUAACACUUGGAAACAGGUGCUAAUACCGUAUAACACUAUUUUCCGCAUGGAAGAAAGUUGAAAGGCGCUUUUGCGUCACUGAUGGAUGGACCCGCGGUGCAUUAGCUAGUUGGUGAGGUAACGGCUCACCAAGGCAACGAUGCAUAGCCGACCUGAGAGGGUGAUCGGCCACACUGGGACUGAGACACGGCCCAGACUCCUACGGGAGGCAGCAGUAGGGAAUCUUCGGCAAUGGACGAAAGUCUGACCGAGCAACGCCGCGUGAGUGAAGAAGGUUUUCGGAUCGUAAAACUCUGUUGUUAGAGAAGAACAAGGAUGAGAGUAAAAUGUUCAUCCCUUGACGGUAUCUAACCAGAAAGCCACGGCUAACUACGUGCCAGCAGCCGCGGUAAUACGUAGGUGGCAAGCGUUGUCCGGAUUUAUUGGGCGUAAAGCGAGCGCAGGCGGUUUCUUAAGUCUGAUGUGAAAGCCCCCGGCUCAACCGGGGAGGGUCAUUGGAAACUGGGAGACUUGAGUGCAGAAGAGGAGAGUGGAAUUCCAUGUGUAGCGGUGAAAUGCGUAGAUAUAUGGAGGAACACCAGUGGCGAAGGCGGCUCUCUGGUCUGUAACUGACGCUGAGGCUCGAAAGCGUGGGGAGCGAACAGGAUUAGAUACCCUGGUAGUCCACGCCGUAAACGAUGAGUGCUAAGUGUUGGAGGGUUUCCGCCCUUCAGUGCUGCAGCAAACGCAUUAAGCACUCCGCCUGGGGAGUACGACCGCAAGGUUGAAACUCAAAGGAAUUGACGGGGGCCCGCACAAGCGGUGGAGCAUGUGGUUUAAUUCGAAGCAACGCGAAGAACCUUACCAGGUCUUGACAUCCUUUGACCACUCUAGAGAUAGAGCUUCCCCUUCGGGGGCAAAGUGACAGGUGGUGCAUGGUUGUCGUCACCUCCUGUCCUGAAAAUGUUGGGUUAAGUCCCGCAACGACCGCAACCCUUAUUGUUAGUUGCCAUCAUUUAUUUGGG